GGUUGGUUAUUUGUGGAUUCUUUACCAUGAUUCAUCCUUUAGGUGCCUGGCACAUUUCUUUGCUAACUUCCUGAGUGUAGGUUGGUGGGUGGGGUUGAAGCCGAGCUGUUGCCUCUCGGAGGAUAGCUUCCUUGUUCUUUCACACAGGAGCAGAUCAUGCAUGACAACUCCUUUUACCUUCAAAACUGUCAUCGCUUGUCCAUCUCGUGCCCUAUUAAAUGCUGUGAAAGACAAGCCAAGGUUCCGUGCUCCACGGGAGACCUCCCAAUGGUUAUAUGGCUCCUCACCAAGCUUGCCUCCAGGGAGAGAAUGUGAUGCAGGAAGUCUCUUAAGUGUCCAAUUUCUCAGCAGUUGUCGUUCCCACGGUGAACUUUAAAACUGGCAUUCUGGUUUUACACUUCAGACUCUGCUGCCUGAGUGAAUCUCUUUCUAAGAGAUGGAUCUGCAAUUGAUGUGCAAAUAAAUUGCAUUUCUGGACCUGAAAGACUGAAAGCUAGAUUUUGAAUGGUUUAGAAUGCAUCCUGAAGCUACCUGGAUUUCUCUUAAUGAAACUCAAACCUUGAAGCUCACCUGUCCAAGCAGUGAAGCUUACACUGUCAUUCAUUAAUCUCCAUAUCCCUGUCUUUAAAUGGGAAAAUAUAUGCUAACUUCAAAAUUGGUAACAUACUAAGGAAUAUUUAGGGCACAAACCCAUGUGCAACUUGGAAACUACUGAUAAAGAAAUGGACGAGAUUCCAGGUCAAGAUGGCAGACUGCAUGAAUGCAUGAAGCCCUCCUCCCUUUCAAACCACAUAGGAAUACUGCAUAAUGUACAUGGUUUUUACAAAAUUCGAAAUGCAUAGCUAAGCCCAAAAGCAAGAAUGAGAACCUGCAGGUACCAGAAACAUUGCAAUGAGUAGAAGUUGAAACUGUUUAGCCAUGGAAGUAACUAAACCAGAUAUAUACCUGUGUGGGUAGAGGUUUUAAAGCCUCCAUGGGGGAUGGAGUUGAAGCCAAGGCUCCACAUUUGGCACAGGAGCAGAAACUGAACCCCUUAGCAGAAGCCAGGCACCAGUAAAUGUCUUUUCUGUCCUUGAAAUGGAAUUAGAAGAACUUUAUCACUGACUCAAACCCAUAGCCUUUAAGAAAUAGAACCCCUCAACCUCUCAAUUGGCCCUGCCUGAGACUAUGAGAUCAGAAUUCUUAACCUGACUGCCUACAAGGUGCAAAAACAAUGAGCCUAGAUAUAAAUGUAAAACUUUGGCCCUGAGAUUUUCUCUGUAGCCCCAAUAGAGGCAAUUAUGAAAAUUCUCAUGGAAGAGUCUCUGAAAGCCAGAAUAUGUGCCACAGGUGUAAAAAAUGGUUCAUGCUGAAGAUACAGUCCAGACAGCAUUUGAAAACAUCAAAUGCUAUAGGACAUCAUCAGCAAACAAUAAAUGGCCAUACCCAAGAAACCAUAAAUAAUAAAUCAAUAUGAGUGGAACUUUAAAAUAAGUUUACUUGAAAUAUACAUAUAUGGAGAAAGAAAUAAAGUCUAUCAGGCAUGAAAAAGAUAUAAUGAAAACAAAAAAGGUAGAUUCGAAAAAAGAACUACUGGAAAUUAUAGAAGUAAAAAAAAAAAUACAGUGAUUUGAGAAAAAUAUACAAUGGAGAAUUUAAACAGACAACUAGAGCUAGCCAAAGAGAGAAUUGGUGAACUGAAGUACACAGCUGGGCAAUCUCCCAAAAUAAGGCACAUAUAUAUAUACAUAUAUACACACAUACAAGCUGUUUUGACCUUAGCUAUGCAAUUUGAAUUUUGUAAAAACCAUAUACAUUACACAGCAUAUAUGCAUACACACACAAAUAGAAAAUAAAAAUGGAAAAAAAGAACUAUGAGCUCCAAGAUGCAUAAAAGGAGAAUUCUAAAAGGAGUGGGGAGAGAGAAUAAGUGUAGCAAUUGGAAGGUGUUAGGCUACAAGUAAUAGAAAUUCCAACCAACAGUGACUUACAGAAGAGGAUUAUUUCUGACCCACAGCAAGAAUUCUUGGGGAACAGGCUGUACAGAGCUAGAGCAGCAGCUCACCCCAAGCCAAAAAUAAACAAACAAAUAAAUAAGCAAAUAAAUUCUAGGUGGAUUAAAGAUAUAAACAUGAGAGAUAAACCUGAAAGUCAUUACAAGAAAAUAUUGGAAAAUAAUUCUAUGACCUACAGUAGAGAUUUCUAUAUAUUUUUUAAACAGAAAAAAAACAUAGCUUAAAUAGAUCAAAAAUUAAUUUUUUUGAAUCCUACUUCAGGCAAAAUUAAAAGCAACAGAUUUGGGGUAAAUGUUCACAGUCCACGUAACCUACAAAAAUUAGUAUCCAGAGUUUCUGUAGAUUAUAAAGGUAAAGAUAAACAAAGCAAAUACAAAUAGGAACAAAAGAUAGGAAAAUGCAAUCCAGAAAGGAGGGAUGACCCUGAGUGGGUAAUAAACAAAUGAAGCAGUAUUCAUCCUCGUGUCACUGGUGGUCAGGGAAGCGCAAAUUAAAACUGAGAUAAAAUCGCACAAUAUCAAAUGUUGAUGAGAAUGUGAUGAAACGUGAAGUGGAAACUUUAAGCCUCGCUAGAGCAGAGGGGCUGUAAUAUAAUACAUCCCCUUGGGAGAGCAAUCUGGCAAAGUCUGCUAAAACUGAAACUUUAAUAAUUACUUGUAUGCUUAUGCUAAAGAGAUUUUCUCAUGAGCACUCAAAGGUUAUAUAUUUAUAAGAAAUUUUUAGCAGCCUUGUUAAUAGUAGCAAUAAAUUAGAAAGAAUAAUUUUUAUCAAAAAUAAAAAUUGAAAUAAAUUUCAGUAUAUCCAAACAUAAAAUUGUUAAUUGUUAAAUUAAUUAAAUUGAGGUGCAUCAAGUGGAUAGCUACCAUAAACCAAACCAAGAAUGAAAAAGAGUUGCAGGGCCGAGCACAGUCACUCAUGCCUGUAAAUCCCAGCACUUUGGGAGGCCGAGGUGGCAGGAUCACUUGAGCCCAGGAGUUUGAGACCAGCCUGGUCAACAUGGAGAAGCCUCAUCUCUACUAAAAAUAUAAAAAUUAGCCGGGCGUGGUGGCACAUGCCUGUAAUCCCAGCACUUUGGAACUUUGGAAGGUUGAGGCAGGCAGAUCACUUGAGGUCAGGAGUUUGAGACCAGCCUGGCCAACAUGGUGAAUCCUGUCUCUACUAAAAAUACAAAAAUUAUACAGGCAUUGUGGCACAUGCCUGUAAUUCCAGUUACUCGGGAGGCUGAAUCAGUGGAAUAGCUUGAACCUAGGAGGCGGAGGUUGCAAUGAGUCGAGAUUGUACCACUACACUCCAGCCUGGGCAACAGAGUAAGACUCCCAAAAACAAACAAGCAAAUAUAUAUAUAUAUAUAUA
Molecule: long non-coding RNA, 3347 nt
Filed under: Homo sapiens (human)
Lineage: Eukaryota; Metazoa; Chordata; Mammalia; Primates; Hominidae
Description: HSALNT0123995
Source: RNAcentral